GGUGGCAAGCGUUAUCCGGAAUUACUGGGCGGAAAGGGCGUGUAGGCGGGAAUACAAGUCAGGAGUGAAAUCCCAGGGCUUCACCCUGGAGGUGGUUCUGAAACUUUUUUUUUUUAGUUUCGGAGAGGAAAGGGGAAUUCCCAGUGUAACGGUGAAAUGCGUAGAGAUUGGGAGGAACCCCAGUGGCGAAGGGGGCUUUUUGGACGAUAACUGACGCUGAGGCGCGAAAGCGGGGGAGCACACACAAAGGAUACCCUGGUAGUGCACGCGGGUAAAAGAUGGGGUACUAAGCGUAGGGGGGUAUCGACCCCCCCUGUGCCACAGUUAACACAAUAAGUAUCCCGCCUGGGGAGUACGGCCGCAAGGUUGAAACUCAAAGGAAUUUGACGGGGGCCCGCACAAGCAGUGGAGUAUGUGGUUUAAUUGGAAGCAACGCGAAGAACCUUACCAGGUCUUGACAUCCCGAUGACCGCUGUGGAGACACAGCUUCUCUUCGGAGCAUUGGAGACAGGUGGUGCAUGCUUGUCGUCAGCUCGUGUCGUGAGAUGUUGGGUUAAGUCCCGCAACGAGCGCAACCCUUGUUGUCAGUUGCCAUCAUUUAGUUGGGCACUCUGGCGAGACUGCCGGUGACAAAUCGGAGGAAGGUGGGGACGACGUCAAAUUAUCAUGCCCCUUAUGACCUGGGCUACACACGUACUACAAUGGCGAUUACAAUGGGAUGCAAUGUCGCGAGGCGGAGCCAAUCCAUAAAAAUCGCCCCAGUUCAGAUUGCAGGCUGCAACUCGCAUGCAUGAAGUCGGACUUGCUAGUAAUGGCAGGUCAGCAUACUGCCGUGAAUACGUUCCCGGGCCUUGCACUAAAGGCCCGUCA
RNAcentral lists this ribosomal RNA (870 nucleotides) under uncultured bacterium. RNAcentral describes it as "bacterial SSU rRNA". It matches the Rfam family "Bacterial small subunit ribosomal RNA", at positions 530 to 1399 of the family's 1533-position model. The record is from RNAcentral.